GCAUAUCAAUAAGCGGAGGAAAAGAAACCAACAGGGAUUGCCUCAGUAACGGCGAGUGAAGCGGCAACAGCUCAAAUUUGAAAUCUGGCCCCCCGGGUCCGAGUUGUAAUUUGCAGAGGAUGCUUUUGGCGCGGUGCCUUCCGAGUUCCCUGGAACGGGACGCCAUAGAGGGUGAGAGCCCCGUACGGUUGGACACCAAGCCUGUGUAAAGCUCCUUCGACGAGUCGAGUAGUUUGGGAAUGCUGCUCAAAAUGGGAGGUAUAUUUCUUCUAAAGCUAAAUACCGGCCAGAGACCGAUAGCGCACAAGUAGAGUGAUCGAAAGAUGAAAAGCACUUUGAAAAGAGGGUUAAACAGCACGUGAAAUUGUUAAAAGGGAAGCGCUUGUGACCAGACUUGCGCCCGGUGAAUCACCCAGCUCUCGCGGCUGGGGCACUUUGCCGGCUCAGGCCAGCAUCAGCUCGCCGUCGGGGACAAAAGCUUCGGGAACGUAGCUCUCUUCGGGGAGUGUUAUAGCCCGCUGCACAAUACCCUUCGGCGGGCUGAGGUACGCGCUCCGCAAGGAUGCUGGCGUAAUGGUCAUCAGCGACCCGUCUUGAAACACGGACCAAGGAGUCAACCUUAUGUGCGA
Molecule: ribosomal RNA, 629 nt
Filed under: Colletotrichum gloeosporioides
Lineage: Eukaryota; Fungi; Ascomycota; Sordariomycetes; Glomerellales; Glomerellaceae
Description: LSU rRNA
Rfam family: Eukaryotic large subunit ribosomal RNA
Source: RNAcentral